Molecule: ribosomal RNA, 2091 nt
Filed under: Triticum aestivum (bread wheat)
Lineage: Eukaryota; Viridiplantae; Streptophyta; Magnoliopsida; Poales; Poaceae
Description: partial small subunit ribosomal RNA
Source: RNAcentral
AUGACGUGCGUAAGGCUGUGUCCGCGUCCGCGUCGUCAACCCCAUCCACGGGUUCCCAGGUGGACGAUCCAUCGACGGCGGUGCUACACACACCUGCCGUGCGGAACGGGCCUCCACCACCACCACCCGAUCCGCGCGUCGCAUCUUCGCCAAGCGCCCUGCCCAUACCGCAGACUAUCGCGGGGUCAGCGCCGCUCGCACGGCUCACAAACGAAGGGCCGCCACUUCUAUCCAAGCCAGAUGACCAGAUCGGGUUGCCGGAGCGGGGGUUUCAGUCAGCACCAGCGCCACGGGAGGAGUACUCCGUCAGGCCACCCAAACAUCAUUGAUGGUGUUGCCCCCCGUGUUUGGCUGGAUCGUUGCUUGGCUUACUUUGAGCUCUACCAUGUGCCACAACACAACUGGGUGGCAACAUCAGCACUCUACGUCGAAGGCCAUGCCGCUCUCUGGCUUCGGGCCUUCCGUCAGACGCAUCCAGUGAUCACUUGGGAUUUGUUUCGCCGGGCAGUGGAAGAGGAAUUCGGCCCUGAGAAGUUCGAGUCCUCGAUGCAUGAUUUGUUGCAGCUUCGACAGACAGGCACAGUCGCAGAGUACAGGCAGCAAUUUGAGGUGCACAUGUACAACAUGAUCGCACUCGACGCCACAUUGAGCUCCAAAUUUUUUGUCACCCAAUUUUUGCUCGGCCUCAAAGAUGAAUUGCGAGCCGCGGUGCGCAUCCAAGCACCGACCAGCAUUACCAGAGCCACCGUAUUUGCACGCAUACAGGAGGAGGAAUUGGACAUUCAGCGCCCUCGCCUACGACCCGCUUCUGCAGGACGGCCACCGCCACUGCCUAGCGUGCCACCGGCGUUGGGACGUCCUCCCCCAACACCAUCAGUGCCACCUGCCACUUUAGUACCCCGCGUCAUUCCGGCACCUAAGCAAGCCCCGGACGACUUCGGGCGCGAGCGGCAGCUGCGAGACUACAAACGCCAGCAUGGCCUCUGUUUUCGUUGUGGCGACAAAUACUCCAGGGUCCAUCAAUGCAAACGCUCAGCGCAGUUGCUCACAAUAGAGGUGGGUGAUCAUGGGGAAGUGCUAUCUGACGAAGCCGUGCACGCGCUGCAGUUACUGGAUGAGCCAGACGGGGCUGCAGAGCCCGCGUGCUGCCUUCUUUCUGCACACGCGGUGGAAGGCACGGAAACAGCGGAAACCAUUCGCCUGCGAGCAACUGUGGGUAACCAGACGAUGCUGCUGUUGGUGGACUCGGGGAGCACGCACAGUGUUGUCAAUUCAACAUUUGCUGUCAGAAUUGGAGCAACGACAACACCCAUUCCUUCCAUUGCUGUACGGGUAGCCAAUGGCCAGCGACUGAACUGCAUAGCCAUGGUACCGCAGCUCCAGUGGUGCAGUCAGGAACACACAUUCAGCACAGAUAUGCGUGUGCUGGACUUGGGCGUCUAUGAUGCAGUUCUCGGCGUCGACUGGCUAGCGCAACAUAGCCCCAUGAAGUGUGAUUGGCAGUUGAAAACAAUGCAAUUCGAGCGUGAUGGUACAGCAGUACACCUACAGGGAGUUAGAUCGGAUGAAUCGCCAACCCUUACUGCUUUGGAUGCUGCUUCUCUUUGGCAAAUGCAUGAUGCAAACGAGAUUUGGGGGGCUGCUUUAAUAGAACUCCAAAUGGCGCCAAUACCAGAUUCCGCAACAGCUCAACCACCACCAGUUGUGAUCCAACGCAUUCUAACGGAGUUCAGUGAUGUCUUUGCUGAACCUACAGGAUUACCUCCCCGCCGUCAAUACGACCAUGCUAUCACUCUAGAACCGGGGGCCACACCAAUCAACUGUCGCCCGUACCGUUAUUCUCCGUUGCAGAAAGACGAGAUAGAGCGUCAGGUUACGGAAAUGCUGUGGACAGGGAUCAUUACUCAUAGUAUGAGUCCCUACGCCGCUCCUGUACUCCUGGUGAAAAAGAAGGAUGGAACCUGGCGCUUCUGCGUAGAUUACAGACGCCUGAACAUGGUGACCAUCAAAAACAGAUUUCCCCUUCCCAUCAUCGACGAGCUACUAGAUGAACUUGCUGGCGCCGCCUUCUUUUCCAAGAUCGAUCUGUGA